UACGUAGGGUCCGAGCGUUGUCCGGAAUUAUUGGGCGUAAAGAGCUCGUAGGCGGUUUGUCGCGUCUGCUGUGAAAUCCCGAGGCUCAACCUCGGGUCUGCAGUGGGUACGGGCAGACUGGAGUGCGGUAGGGGAGAAUGGAAUUCCUGGUGUAGCGGUGGAAUGCGCAGAUAUCAGGAGGAACACCGAUAGCGAAGGCAGCUCGCUGGGACGGUACUGACGCUGAGGCGCGAAAGCGUGGGGAGCGAACAGG
Molecule: ribosomal RNA, 253 nt
Filed under: uncultured bacterium
Lineage: Bacteria
Description: partial 16S ribosomal RNA
Rfam family: Bacterial small subunit ribosomal RNA
Source: RNAcentral